Molecule: non-coding RNA, 73 nt
Organism: Globicephala melas (long-finned pilot whale)
Lineage: Eukaryota; Metazoa; Chordata; Mammalia; Artiodactyla; Delphinidae
Source: the annotation of a RefSeq genome assembly
UCCCUGAUGGUCCAGUGGUUCAGACUCUGCGCCUGUACUGCAGGGGGCCCGGGUUCGAUCCCUGGUCAGGGAA